This 421-nucleotide ribosomal RNA is filed under the name uncultured bacterium. RNAcentral describes it as "bacterial SSU rRNA". It matches the Rfam family "Bacterial small subunit ribosomal RNA", at positions 90 to 518 of the family's 1533-position model. The record is from RNAcentral.
ACUGAGUGGCGGACGGGUGAGUAACGGCGUGGGUAACCCUGGCCUACGGUACAGGGGGACAACAAGUUGGAAACGGCUGCUAAUACCGCAUAAGCGCAACAGUACCGCAUGGUACAGUAGUGAAAAAACUCCGGUGGUACGAGAUGGACCCGCGUCUGAUUAGCUAGUUGGUGAGGUAACGGCCCACCAAGGCGACGAUCAGUAGCCGAUCUGAGAGGAUGAACGGCCACAUUGGGACUGAGACACGGCCCAGACUCCUACGGGAGGCAGCAGUGGGGAAUAUUGCACAAUGGGCGAAAGCCUGAUGCAGCGAACGCCGCGUGAGCGAUGAAGUAUUUCGGUAUGUAAAGCUCUAUCAGCAGGGAAGAAAAAUGACGGUACCUGACUAAGAAGCACCGGCUAAAUACGUGCCAGCAGCAGC